This is a long non-coding RNA of Capsicum annuum, 1856 nucleotides long. RefSeq lists it as uncharacterized. The transcript has 3 exons. The record is from RefSeq and is a predicted model, not a curated record. Lineage: Eukaryota; Viridiplantae; Streptophyta; Magnoliopsida; Solanales; Solanaceae.
CCCACCCUUACAUUUUUUUAUUCCUUUUAACCAAAAUACACAACAAAAAUAUAGAAAAAGAGGGGGCCCACAGAAUAAUAUUCAUACAACAAUAUACGCUCCUCCAUUUUUUUCAUCUUCUACAUAAAAAAAUCGACCUCAGGCCAUUUUGAGGACUUUAUUUUUUUGUUCUUUUCUUCAUCUUUACGAUAUUGUUACAAGAACCAUACACACACUCACAAUAUUUUGGUCUCCUCCAUAACACACAAAGAGAGAUUGCAAGAGGUAGGUGAGAAAAAGAGAGAGUAGUUGGAACAGGGACUCAUCUUCCUCAGGGGACCAAUUUUUGUUCCAUUUUCAUGGAAUACGCACACACGCAUAGCUUCACACUCCACCACACACGACUUCACACACACAUCAUCGAUUGAGGAAGAGAUCGAAAGGGGUAAGAAUAGAGAAAAAUAGAGAGAGAGAUAGAAAUCGAAAGAGAUAGGGGAUCGAGAGAAAAUAGUUAAACAUCGGGUGUUAACAGUCCUUUGUUGCCCUGAAUUUGGGCCAUUCUCCAUUUUUUGAUGUUGUCCGAGCUCUCUGAAACUCUGGUAAGACGGAAGCAGUGAGUCCGAUCCCGAAACCCCCUGGAAAGCAGACGGAAUAGAUCCUUUCGGUGUGCGAAAUUAGGUAGGAGUUGGGUCCGAAAUUGGCGAUUCAGGUCCGAAUUGAGGCUUUCUUUUGCACAAAAUUGGGUUUGGUUUCGUCUAUUUUGGCAAUUUUCUAUUUUGGGUCAGUAGAAAAUGAAAGAAGGAUGCAUACCGGAGCUGGGGUUCGAAUUGAGGUUCGUUGAGGUUAUCGGAGCGGCUCUCAUCUUUCUUCUUAAGUCAAUCGAAAACUUUUGAGAACUGCUUAGAAUUCUUUGAUCCAUCAAACUCGUCAACAGCUCGGCCGGUCUUAUGUUCAGACCAAAGAUGUGUUGUUGGACUGCAAUCUUGUUCUACUCAAAUCAUUGUGAGUAUACGUUCCAUUACGGUGAUGGCAGUGGGACAUCAGGAUAUUAUAUUGCAGAUUUUAUGCACUUUGAUACAAUUGUGAAAAAAUCCUUGAUGACAAUCUCAUCUGCUCGGGUCAUUUUCGAAUGUAGUACAUCACGGACUGGUGAACUCCUAAGUAAGCCUGACAGAGCAAUUGACGGCAGCCAAUGACAAACAUUUCUUCCCAUGAUACUAGUGCUCUUUUAGUAAUCAUAUUUUCUCUUGAUCAUAUUUUUAUCAAUUGACAAUGGAUGCACGUAUAUCACACAAAAUGCACACAAGAUGCACGUUUAUCGCACAAGAUGCACGUUCAUCACUCGAGAUGCACGUACAUCGCUCGAGAUGCACGUACAUCGCUCGAGAUGCACGUUUAUCGCACAAGAUGCACGUACAUCGCAUGAGAUGCACGUGUGGUACACGAGAUGCACAUGUGAUGUACACAAAAACUAAUUUUACUGAAUGUACUUGAGACCUUUUAUUAAUAAAAAUGAAGGAUAAAUUUCUGAAAUUAAUCAUCUUAUUUAUGAUUUCUCAAGUAGCGCGUAAACUACAUGAUUUUGUUUCAGGAUUUAUUUUAUAAGAGUUCGGUUGGGUUCCCCUCUAAAGACUUCUAUGUACAGAUAGACACUGGAAGUGAUGUGCUGUGGGUUAGCUGUGUUCCCUGUAACGGUUGCCCGACAUAUAGUUUAGUUUAGGUUUGGAAAUUAUUAUUUUAUUUUAUUGGUAAUUAAAGAUUUUUAUUAAUCAUCAAGUGUGUAUGAACAAAACACAGUUUGGCUACAACUCAGCCAGAUGAUCUCAUCUCAGAUAAACUAUCACUCAUACCAGUAAAAUUGGAAAGCAGUUCUACUA